This 804-nucleotide ribosomal RNA is filed under the name Mycobacteriales bacterium. Its description in RNAcentral is "bacterial SSU rRNA". It matches the Rfam family "Bacterial small subunit ribosomal RNA", at positions 61 to 878 of the family's 1533-position model. The record is from RNAcentral. Lineage: Bacteria; Bacillati; Actinomycetota; Actinomycetes; Mycobacteriales.
GUCGAACGGAAAGGCCUAGCUUGCUAGGUACUCGAGUGGCGAACGGGUGAGUAACACGUGGGUGAUCUGCCUCGUACUUCGGGAUAAGCCUGGGAAACUGGGUCUAAUACUGGAUAGGACCAUGCUUUAGUGUGUGUGGUGGAAAGUUUUUUCGGUACGAGAUGAGCCCGCGGCCUAUCAGCUUGUUGGUGGGGUAAUGGCCUACCAAGGCGUCGACGGGUAGCCGGCCUGAGAGGGUGGACGGCCACAUUGGGACUGAGAUACGGCCCAGACUCCUACGGGAGGCAGCAGUGGGGAAUAUUGCACAAUGGGCGCAAGCCUGAUGCAGCGACGCCGCGUGGGGGAUGACGGCCUUCGGGUUGUAAACCUCUUUCGCUAGGGACGAAGCUUUUGUGACGGUACCUAGAUAAGAAGCACCGGCUAACUACGUGCCAGCAGCCGCGGUAAUACGUAGGGUGCGAGCGUUGUCCGGAAUUACUGGGCGUAAAGAGCUCGUAGGUGGUUUGUCGCGUCGUCUGUGAAAUUCCGGGGCUUAACUUCGGGCGUGCAGGCGAUACGGGCAUAACUUGAGUGCUGUAGGGGAGACUGGAAUUCCUGGUGUAGCGGUGGAAUGCGCAGAUAUCAGGAGGAACACCGAUGGCGAAGGCAGGUCUCUGGGCAGUAACUGACGCUGAGGAGCGAAAGCAUGGGGAGCGAACAGGAUUAGAUACCCUGGUAGUCCAUGCCGUAAACGGUGGGCGCUAGGUGUGAGGGUCUUCCACGACUUUCGUGCCGUAGCUAACGCAUUAAGCGCCCCGCCUGGGG